GGGGGUGACAUGGCUUCGACGCGGGUCACGAAACUCUAGGUGCAUGUCGAGGGGUAGAGCCUCGUAAAAAUCUGCA
This 76-nucleotide transfer-messenger RNA is filed under the name Halothiobacillus sp. 13-55-115. RNAcentral describes it as "partial transfer-messenger RNA". It matches the Rfam family "transfer-messenger RNA", at positions 1 to 81 of the family's 374-position model. From Rfam's summary of the family: Bacterial tmRNA, also known as 10Sa RNA or SsrA, is named for its dual tRNA and mRNA-like properties. Its role is to liberate the mRNA from a stalled ribosome. Lineage: Bacteria; Pseudomonadati; Pseudomonadota; Gammaproteobacteria; Chromatiales; Halothiobacillaceae. The record is from RNAcentral.